UUUCCUUAACUUCUAGAUUGUUAUUAUUAAUAGCAAUUGUCAACACCUCAUAGCCAAAAUGAUGGAUCAUCUCCUCAAAUCUCUUCUUCUCCUAACGUUUCGAAGCUUAUGGGUUACGAGUUAAAUCAGCUAUAUUGUUGAAUAUCCCAAUUUGAAACUCACGACAUGUAAGAGGAAGAGAAUCGAUAAAGCAUAAGCAUCAAAUAUUUAUGGAAUUUAUCCAUGUUUGAGUGAAGAGCAAUAUGAUACAAUUUUGGUUCUUUAGAUCCUUGAUUUAUCUUAUUAUAUGCUAUGUAUUUUCUCUUUUCUGAUAUUGCUGUCCAGGUAUAGCUGGGCAAUUUUGUGGCAAAGGAGAUGGAUCCUUCAAAUGAGGCCUCUUUUCGUUAGUUCGAGAAAAAUUGUGCAUCCUUUUCUAAGAGGAAUGUCAAUCCAACUGCUAUGGAAAGGAUUACUUGAAAAAUAUUUUUUGUGACAGCAGAUGAAGUUGUUUGAGCAUCCACAUAGAGACCAACAUAUUGUGUGUGAAAUAUGUGGGACAAAGCGGCAUCUUCACACAGAUAAAGGGGCCUACUUUGGAUAGAAUGAAAUGUGAGUUUCAAGAUUAUCAACACAUUUUUUCAACCAUAAGGGACUACAAUUUCUGAUAUUUAGUUGAAGUUUCUUUUUGUUAAAAGUGACAUUUUAUUUCAUGAAUGUAGAAAGUGAUAAAAUAAAUUCAUUACAAGUUCAAGGAGAAAUUCAUAGAUGGCUAGCCAUAGUUUUAAACCUUAAGGAUAUCAUUAUAUCAAGUUGUUGCUAUAAAUAGAUGACUAUAUAUUAAUUAAAAAGAAGUAAGUUGACGGUCUUUUCGA
Solanum pennellii is the source of this 851-nucleotide long non-coding RNA. RefSeq lists it as uncharacterized. The record is from RefSeq and is a predicted model, not a curated record. The transcript has 2 exons. NCBI's taxonomy places the organism in Eukaryota, Viridiplantae, Streptophyta, Magnoliopsida, Solanales, Solanaceae.